RNAcentral lists this microRNA (19 nucleotides) under Corchorus capsularis. Its description in RNAcentral is "sRNA CCACVL1_22453". Lineage: Eukaryota; Viridiplantae; Streptophyta; Magnoliopsida; Malvales; Malvaceae. The record is from RNAcentral.
AGCAAACCUUCUUUCUCCU